GGGAAUAAUAGUGAGAAAUCAUUGCUAAUACCGCAUAUGCUAACAGUAUCGCAUGAUACAGUUAGGAAAGGAGCAAUCCGCUGAUAGAUGGGCUUGCGUCUGAUUAGCUAGUUGGUGGGGUAACGGCCUACCAAGGCGACGAUCAGUAGCCGGACUGAGAGGUUGAACGGCCACAUUGGGACUGAGAUACGGCCCAGACUCCUACGGGAGGCAGCAGUCGGGAAUAUUGCGCAAUGGAGGAAACUCUGACGCAGUGACGCCGCGUAUAGGAAGUAGGUUUUCGGAUUGUAAACUAUUGUCGUUAGGGAAGAUACAGACAGUACCUAAGGAGGAAGCCCCGGCUAACUAUGUGCCAGCAGCCGCGGUAAUACAUAGGGGGCAAGCGUUAUCCGGAAUUAUUGGGUGUAAAGGGUGCGUAGACGGAGAAACAAGUUGGUUGUGAAAUCCCUCGGCUCAACUGAGGAACUGCAACCAAAACUAUUUCCCUUGAGUAUCGGAGAGGAAAGUGGAAUUCCUAGUGUAGCGGUGAAAUGCGUAGAUAUUAGGAGGAACACCAGUGGCGAAGGCGACUUUCUGGACGAUAACUGACGUUGAGGCACGAAAGUGUGGGGAGCAAACAGGAUUAGAUACCCUGGUAGUCCACACUGUAAACG
RNAcentral lists this ribosomal RNA (653 nucleotides) under uncultured bacterium. RNAcentral's name for it is "bacterial SSU rRNA". It matches the Rfam family "Bacterial small subunit ribosomal RNA", at positions 139 to 808 of the family's 1533-position model. The record is from RNAcentral.